ACCAAUUUAGUAAAAUAUAUUAUAUUGCUUUGAUAUGGCGAAGUUCUUUUGAUUUGGUA
Molecule: transfer RNA, 59 nt
Filed under: Strongyloides sp. EN-2020c
Lineage: Eukaryota; Metazoa; Nematoda; Chromadorea; Rhabditida; Strongyloididae
Description: tRNA-Ile
Source: RNAcentral